UCUGCUUGGUCAGUAAAUGCCCUGGGACUGCUUCCUCAGAAGGCAAACCUAGAGGAGACCAAGCCUGAAGCUGGGUGGGGACAGUGUGACUGCCAACCCCCGUGUUCCAUGGGAACAGGGUGUUGCAUCCCCGGAGGGUGGGCAUGGGGAAGAGGGGUGCGGGAGUGCAGCAGGGCUCACUUACCCGGGUAGCCCACGGAGGGGUGCAGCAAGUCCAUACCCGAAGUGUGGCCAACAGGGUGAAACUCUGUCUCUACUAAAAAUACA
Molecule: long non-coding RNA, 267 nt
Filed under: Pan troglodytes (chimpanzee)
Lineage: Eukaryota; Metazoa; Chordata; Mammalia; Primates; Hominidae
Description: long non-coding RNA NONPTRT004800
Source: RNAcentral